GGUCCUAUGGGGUAGUGGUUAUCCCACCGGAUUUUGAUGAACAAUAUACGUAUCCUGUGUAUGUAUAGGAAGAUCUAAUCUUCCGGUAACGCCGGUUCGAAUCCGGCUAGGACCU
This 115-nucleotide transfer RNA is filed under the name Aspergillus bombycis. It matches the Rfam family "tRNA". Rfam says of the family: Transfer RNA (tRNA) molecules are approximately 80 nucleotides in length. Their secondary structure includes four short double-helical elements and three loops (D, anti-codon, and T loops). The record is from Rfam by way of RNAcentral. Lineage: Eukaryota; Fungi; Ascomycota; Eurotiomycetes; Eurotiales; Aspergillaceae.